This 1440-nucleotide ribosomal RNA is filed under the name Lacticaseibacillus rhamnosus. RNAcentral's name for it is "bacterial SSU rRNA". It matches the Rfam family "Bacterial small subunit ribosomal RNA". Lineage: Bacteria; Bacillati; Bacillota; Bacilli; Lactobacillales; Lactobacillaceae. The record is from RNAcentral.
CAUACCAGUCGAACGAGUUCUGAUUAUUGAAAGGAGCAUGCAUCUAGAUUUAACUACCAACGAGUGGCGGACGGGUGAGUAACACGUGGGUAACCUGCCCUUAAGUGGGGGAAAACAUUUGGAAACAGAUGCUAAUACCGCAUAAAUCCAAGAACCGCAUGGUUCUUGGCUGAAAGAUGGCGUAAGCUAUCGCUUUUGGAUGGACCCGCGGCGUAUUAGCUAGUUGGUGAGGUAACGGCUCACCAAGGCAAUGAUACGUAGCCGAACUGAGAGGUUGAUCGGCCACAUUGGGACUGAGACACGGCCCAAACUCCUACGGGAGGCAGCAGUAGGGAAUCUUCCACAAUGGACGCAAGUCUGAUGGAGCAACGCCGCGUGAGUGAAGAAGGCUUUCGGGUCGUAAAACUCUGUUGUUGGAGAAGAAUGGUCGGCAGAGUAACUGUUGUCGGCGUGACGGUAUCCAACCAGAAAGCCACGGCUAACUACGUGCCAGCAGCCGCGGUAAUACGUAGGUGGCAAGCGUUAUCCGGAUUUAUUGGGCGUAAAGCGAGCGCAGGCGGUUUUUUAAGUCUGAUGUGAAAGCCCUCGGCUUAACCGAGGAAGUGCAUCGGAAACUGGGAAACUUGAGUGCAGAAGAGGACAGUGGAACUCCAUGUGUAGCGGUGAAAUGCGUAGAUAUAUGGAAGAACACCAGUGGCGAAGGCGGCUGUCUGGUCUGUAACUGACGCUGAGGCUCGAAAGCAUGGGUAGCGAACAGGAUUAGAUACCCUGGUAGUCCAUGCCGUAAACGAUGAAUGCUAGGUGUUGGAGGGUUUCCGCCCUUCAGUGCCGCAGCUAACGCAUUAAGCAUUCCGCCUGGGGAGUACGACCGCAAGGUUGAAACUCAAAGGAAUUGACGGGGGCCCGCACAAGCGGUGGAGCAUGUGGUUUAAUUCGAAGCAACGCGAAGAACCUUACCAGGUCUUGACAUCUUUUGAUCACCUGAGAGAUCAGGUUUCCCCUUCGGGGGCAAAAUGACAGGUGGUGCAUGGUUGUCGUCAGCUCGUGUCGUGAGAUGUUGGGUUAAGUCCCGCAACGAGCGCAACCCUUAUGACUAGUUGCCAGCAUUUAGUUGGGCACUCUAGUAAGACUGCCGGUGACAAACCGGAGGAAGGUGGGGAUGACGUCAAAUCAUCAUGCCCCUUAUGACCUGGGCUACACACGUGCUACAAUGGAUGGUACAACGAGUUGCGAGACCGCGAGGUCAAGCUAAUCUCUUAAAGCCAUUCUCAGUUCGGACUGUAGGCUGCAACUCGCCUACACGAAGUCGGAAUCGCUAGUAAUCGCGGAUCAGCACGCCGCGGUGAAUACGUUCCCGGGCCUUGUACACACCGCCCGUCACACCAUGAGAGUUUGUAACACCCGAAGCCGGUGGCGUAACCCUUUUAGGGAGCGAGCCGU